CAGUAGCCGCGGUAAUACGAAGGGGGCUAGCGUUGCUCGGAAUGACUGGGCGUAAAGGGCGCGUAGGCGGCAUAUACAGUCAGGCGUGAAAUUCCUGGGCUUAACCUGGGGGCUGCGUUUGAAACGUAUAGGCUAGAGUGGGGAAGAGGGUUGUGGAAUUCCCAGUGUAGAGGUGAAAUUCGUAGAUAUUCGGAAGAACACCAGUGGCGAAGGCGGCUCACUGGACGACUGUUGACGCUGAGGUGCGAAAGCGUGGGGAGCAAACAGGAUUAGAUACCCCGGUAGUCCCUGUCUCUUAUAC
Molecule: ribosomal RNA, 301 nt
Filed under: uncultured bacterium
Lineage: Bacteria
Description: partial 16S ribosomal RNA
Rfam family: Bacterial small subunit ribosomal RNA
Source: RNAcentral